GAUGAACGCUGGCGGCGUGCCUAAUACAUGCAAGUCGAGCGAACGGACGAGAAGCUUGCUUCUCUGAUGUUAGCGGCGGACGGGUGAGUAACACGUGGAUAACCUACCUAUAAGACUGGGAUAACUUCGGGAAACCGGAGCUAAUACCGGAUAAUAUAUUGAACCGCAUGGUUCAAUAGUGAAAGACGGUUUUGCUGUCACUUAUAGAUGGAUCCGCGCUGCAUUAGCUAGUUGGUAAGGUAACGGCUUACCAAGGCAACGAUGCAUAGCCGACCUGAGAGGGUGAUCGGCCACACUGGAACUGAGACACGGUCCAGACUCCUACGGGAGGCAGCAGUAGGGAAUCUUCCGCAAUGGGCGAAAGCCUGACGGAGCAACGCCGCGUGAGUGAUGAAGGUCUUCGGAUCGUAAAACUCUGUUAUUAGGGAAGAACAUAUGUGUAAGUAACUAUGCACAUCUUGACGGUACCUAAUCAGAAAGCCACGGCUAACUACGUG
Molecule: ribosomal RNA, 497 nt
Filed under: uncultured bacterium
Lineage: Bacteria
Description: partial 16S ribosomal RNA
Rfam family: Bacterial small subunit ribosomal RNA
Source: RNAcentral